Molecule: non-coding RNA, 2021 nt
Organism: Tetranychus urticae (two-spotted spider mite)
Lineage: Eukaryota; Metazoa; Arthropoda; Arachnida; Trombidiformes; Tetranychidae
Source: RefSeq, a predicted model, not a curated record
AAUGCUUCAGUUUACUCGUGCUUCACCACUGACAAAUUACUGUAAAAUAAUUCUUUUUCAUUUUCUUACCAAAUCCCUCGACUCAAGUGAAAACUAUUAUAGUUUAAUUUAUUUUUACAAUGUUGAUCAACGAACUUCCUAAUGAUUGUUUGCUCAUCAUUUUUGAUCAGAUGAAUUACCUGGGUGAUUUAAUAAACUGCUCUAAAGGUAAUUAUGUUUCUUUGUAUAAUGAAAAUCUUUUAUUUCCAUUGAAAGUGGUGUGUCACGAAAAACUGGCUCUCGUCAAAGUGUGUAUUAAAUGGAACCAUUUAGUUGUUAAACGGACUAAAAAAGUUAAAUAUUUUAUGGAGGAUCCUGACUAUUCAUCUGACUAUGUCUAUUAUCGAGGAAGAGGUCCGUUUGAUGUAACCUGUUUGAGCACAUUAUUUCCAAAUUUAAAAAUUGCUGAAUUUUCUCAUAAAAUGGAAAGAAAAGUGGAAUUUGAAGAUAUUGUUGCAUUCGUCAAAAACCAUGAAUCUUUGAAAGGAUUAUUACUAGGAUAUUUUUUUACUAGACCAAUAGAAGAACACUGUGAUAAACUCGAAAUGCUAUCCGUCGAUACUUUAGAUCCAAGCAUUAUACAAAAUGGUUCGAGUAUAAAACAAUUGUACAUUCUGAUUUGUACUCUAGAUGAUUUCAAAAGAGAUGCUCAUCAUUUCCCAAACCUUGAAAGACUACAUAUUGUUAGUAAUGAAGCCCCAUACAGUUACUACGAUGGUCCAGUAUUGGAAAAGCUUAAAAUUGUUGAGCUGGGCUUUACAUUUACUUAUGAUACAGACAUUUGCUAUGGUUUCCAUUUCAUGGAUUCAUGUCCGAAUUUACAAAGUGCCCACAUUUUCUUGGAUUCUCAUCGAUUUUUUGUCGAUGAAACAAUCAAACACAAAUGUUUACAAGAUUUAGUUAUAGAUUUUGGCGGUCCUUCUCGAAUCAACUGGAAUGAUUUAAAAAGAUUGCUUAUGAAGUACCCGAAUCUCAAACAUCUUGGGUUGAGGGGCGCACGUAACAUAAAAGAUGAACACAUAAAGCAAUUGGUUCACAUUUUACCCAAUUUAGUGUUGUUCCAGGUUACUGUAUGUGAGGAAAUCACUCAAAGUGCUGCUGGUUAUAUUAAAGAUUAUUGUGAAAAAUAUGGAAGAUCAAUCAAAUUUUACUUCGAUGAGAAUUUCAGUGAAAUCGAGUCAGAUUGGCCUCAGUUAUCCACUAAACAAGAAAAAAUUAGUCGAGGCUUUGAUUUCAUGAAACACUGCUUUCUUAAAUUUAUUCAUCGCGUUCCAAAUUUCUUGAUUCCUAUUGAUUAUUGAAAAUCACAUACUUAACACAUGCAAUAAUAUAUUUUUGACCUUGCAAGCCCACUCAAAGCUUGAAAAUCUCCUUUCUUUAAUCAAUUAAAAAAUUAUAAUAUAUUUUCUGGUGGACUUGAAAAGUUAAAUCAGACAAAUAACUUUCAUUAAAAAAUCUGUUUUCGAUCGAAGUUUCAACUUUAACCCAACUUUUCUCAUGAAAAUGAAUCCAACAAAUUAUCUCAAUCUAAUGCUGACAUCUAUGGGAACUACAGGGGAACAAUAAUAAAUGAUACAUUCUGAUGAUCAAUCAGAUCCAGUGAUUCAGCAUUGAAUUUUUCACUCAAUCACCAGACUCAAGUGAAAACAGAAAUUUACCUAAUUUAUUUAAAAUGUUGAUCAAUGAACUUCCCGAUGAUUGUUUGCUCUCCAUAUUUGAUUAUAUGAAUGACCUGGGUGAUUUAAUAAACUGCUAUAAAGUGUGUAUUAAAUGGAGCCAUUUAGUUGCUGAGCGAACUAAAAAAGUGAAAUAUUUUAUGGAGUAUCGUUAUGAUCAUCGACUUGAACAUGGCCGUGAUGUUCCUGAUUAUUCAUUUGAUUGUGUUUAUUAUGAAGACGAAGAUCCGAUUGAUGUAACCUGUCUCAGCACAUUAUUUACAAAUUUAAUAAUUGCUGAAUUGUCGUGGGGACUCACAAGGAAAG